This 69-nucleotide transfer RNA is filed under the name Urocitellus parryii (Arctic ground squirrel). RNAcentral describes it as "Spermophilus parryii (Arctic ground squirrel) tRNA". It matches the Rfam family "tRNA". Rfam says of the family: Transfer RNA (tRNA) molecules are approximately 80 nucleotides in length. Their secondary structure includes four short double-helical elements and three loops (D, anti-codon, and T loops). RNAcentral also lists the same sequence under 1 other name. The record is from Rfam by way of RNAcentral. Lineage: Eukaryota; Metazoa; Chordata; Mammalia; Rodentia; Sciuridae.
GGGGUUGUGGCUCAGUGGUAGCGCACUUGCCUGGCAUGCAUGAGACACUGGGUUCUAUUCUCAGCACCA